This 778-nucleotide long non-coding RNA is filed under the name Ficedula albicollis (Collared flycatcher). RNAcentral's name for it is "lncRNA (ENSFALG00000028917.1)". Lineage: Eukaryota; Metazoa; Chordata; Aves; Passeriformes; Muscicapidae. The record is from RNAcentral.
GCAAACAGGAGUCACACAAUAACAAAAUUACACUUGGGUUAUUUGGAAAAUAAUAGUUUCUGGGUUUUUUUUAAUCUUAGUAGUCAGCCCUGAAAAACAUCUGGUAAAUUUUUAAAAGAAACAAUGCACUUCCUGCCUUGUAGUUCAUGGAAAAGCAAUUGUUGCCAUUUCCAAAGUACCAUUGUUAGGAGAAACAGCUUUACAAGUUCAGGGACACAAUUAAAGACAAUGAAAGGGAAUUGAUGGGAAUAAAAUGAAGAAACAUCAUAACAAAAAGAGUAAAACAAGGAAGAAAAGAACUCUGACAUAGUGGGGUGUCAGAGCUCCCAACUCAGGGGCACGAUAAAACCUGUCAGCUGAAAAGACAGAGUGGGAAAAAUCAAUUGGAGACCAGCGUGUUGUAACUAAAGGGAAGCAAACCACCAUGUCAUCAGCUGCUCCAAGAGUCCUGCAGAGAGGCCCAGGCUCCACUCACAUGGAGAAGCCAAGAAUAUGAUGGUUCCAAAGAAGCAAAGAGCAGCUCUUAGGAACAAACUCCAUGAGACCCACCCAGGUGAAGAUUCCUCGCAAGGCAAGGGUCAGGAAUGACAGCUGUCAUACAGGGCAACUGUAGGACUUCUCCAGGUAAGAAUUCCAGAAGCACCUUCACUAGAAGGUUCUGGAUGCAGCCAUGGAUAGGGACGCUUCCACCAGAGUAUUGCCAGUAACUGCAUCAGAAGGUAAUCACAUCAUGGUACAGACUGGUUUUCCUUGCUGGGUCUCUUUCAAUCCAUUCAUU